GAGUUUGAUCCUGGCUCAGGAUGAACGCUAGCGGCAGGCUUAACACAUGCAAGUCGAGGGGUAGAGUAGCAAUACUUGAGACCGGCGCACGGGUGCGUAACGCGUAUGCAACCUACCUUUUACAGAGGGAUAGCCCAGAGAAAUUUGGAUUAAUACCUCAUAGUAUAUGUCUUUCGCAUGUUAGACAUAUUAAAGUUCCAACGGUAAAAGAUGGGCAUGCGUCCUAUUAGCUAGAUGGUAAGGUAACGGCUUACCAUGGCAACGAUAGGUAGGGGUCCUGAGAGGGAGAUCCCCCACACUGGUACUGAGACACGGACCAGACUCCUACGGGAGGCAGCAGUGAGGAAUAUUGGACAAUGGGCGCAAGCCUGAUCCAGCCAUGCCGCGUGCAGGAAGACGGUCCUAUGGAUUGUAAACUGCUUUUUGUACGGGAAGAAACACUCCCUCGUGAGGGAGCUUGACGGUACCGUAAGAAUAAGGAUCGGCUAACUCCGUGCCAGCCGCCGCGGUAAU
RNAcentral lists this ribosomal RNA (513 nucleotides) under uncultured Flavobacterium sp. RNAcentral's name for it is "bacterial SSU rRNA". It matches the Rfam family "Bacterial small subunit ribosomal RNA", at positions 9 to 524 of the family's 1533-position model. The record is from RNAcentral. Lineage: Bacteria; Pseudomonadati; Bacteroidota; Flavobacteriia; Flavobacteriales; Flavobacteriaceae.